This 135-nucleotide ribosomal RNA is filed under the name uncultured bacterium. Its description in RNAcentral is "partial 16S rRNA". It matches the Rfam family "Bacterial small subunit ribosomal RNA", at positions 355 to 507 of the family's 1533-position model. The record is from RNAcentral.
UGGGGAAUAUUGCACAAUGGGGGAAACCCUGAUGCAGCGACGCCGCGUGAGUGAAGAAGUAUUUCGGUAUGUAAAGCUCUAUCAGCAGGGAAGAAAAUGACGGUACCUGACUAANAAGCCCCGGCUAACUACGUG